GGAUGCGAUCAUACCAGCACUAAAGCACCGGAUCCCAUCACAUUCCGAAGUUAAGCGCGCUUGGGCGAGAGUAGUACUAGGAUGGGUGACCUCUUGGGAAGUCCUCGUGUUGCAUUCC
Molecule: ribosomal RNA, 118 nt
Filed under: Triticum aestivum (bread wheat)
Lineage: Eukaryota; Viridiplantae; Streptophyta; Magnoliopsida; Poales; Poaceae
Source: RNAcentral